RNAcentral lists this transfer RNA (34 nucleotides) under Pseudoroegneria strigosa subsp. aegilopoides. RNAcentral describes it as "partial tRNA-Phe". The record is from RNAcentral. Lineage: Eukaryota; Viridiplantae; Streptophyta; Magnoliopsida; Poales; Poaceae.
UCAGAAAGCUCAGUGUAGAGCAAGGACUGAAAUC